AGCGCAGGCGGAAGAAUAAGUCUGAUGUGAAAGCCCUCGGCUUAACCGAGGAACUGCAUCGGAAACUGUUUUUCUUGAGUGCAGAAGAGGAGAGUGGAACUCCAUGUGUAGCGGUGGAAUGCGUAGAUAUAUGGAAGAACACCAGUGGCGAAGGCGGCUCUCUGGUCUGCAACUGACGCUGAGGCUCGAAAGCAUGGGUAGCGAACAGGAUUAGAUACCCUGGUAGUCCAUGCCGUAAACGAUGAGUGCUAAGUGUUGGGAGGUUUCCGCCUCUCAGUGCUGCAGCUAACGCAUUAAGCACUCCGCCUGGGGAGUACGACCGCAAGGUUGAAACUCAAAGGAAUUGACGGGGGCCCGCACAAGCGGUGGAGCAUGUGGUUUAAUUCGAAGCAACGCGAAGAACCUUACCAGGUCUUGACAUCUAGUGCCAUUUGUAGAGAUACAAAGUUCCC
RNAcentral lists this ribosomal RNA (452 nucleotides) under Lactobacillus crispatus. Its description in RNAcentral is "bacterial SSU rRNA". It matches the Rfam family "Bacterial small subunit ribosomal RNA", at positions 568 to 1018 of the family's 1533-position model. Lineage: Bacteria; Bacillati; Bacillota; Bacilli; Lactobacillales; Lactobacillaceae. The record is from RNAcentral.